CAGUCUUUGCCCUCAAGUCAUCCACCCUGGUGAAUGACUUGAGGGCAAAGACUGGG
This 56-nucleotide microRNA precursor is filed under the name Pteropus alecto (black flying fox). RNAcentral describes it as "microRNA pal-mir-10017 precursor (pal-mir-10017-2)". The record is from miRBase by way of RNAcentral. Lineage: Eukaryota; Metazoa; Chordata; Mammalia; Chiroptera; Pteropodidae.